This 1607-nucleotide long non-coding RNA is filed under the name Parus major (Great Tit). RNAcentral's name for it is "lncRNA (ENSPMJG00000011693.1)". The record is from RNAcentral. Lineage: Eukaryota; Metazoa; Chordata; Aves; Passeriformes; Paridae.
GCCCACCACGCCCGGGAAGGGGCGGCUGGUCCGGCGGGGUCCCGAGGAGUGCCCCAGCCCCGGGGAAAGCGGUGAGCGCGUCCCUGCCCGGGGAGAUCCCUGCGUGGGGCGGGGGGGGCUGCCCUGGCUGUGCUGACGGGACCCCUCUGCCCCUCAGACCCUGCGAGCCCCCCUCCACCGCCCUGCCCCGAGGGCUCCUAUUUCUCGGCGCUCCCUGAGGUUGAGCAUCAGGACCCUGCUGUCCCCCCAAGCCUGUGAGUGUGAGGGGGGUCCCCAAACCCCCCCAAUAUGUGUUGGGGGGGGUCCAACAGCCCCCCCAGCACCGCUGCCUUCCCCCCAGACCCUCUGCCUUCCCCCUCCAGGCCGAGCUCGGGGGCCCUGACCCCUGGGAUGGACGGUCCCCGGAAGAUCCGGAGCAAGUUGCAGCACACCCUGGUCCUGGAGCUGGUGAGCUGGGGGGGCUGGGGGGGCUCUGCAGCGCCCGGGGCUGGGGGCUCACCCUGUUCCCUGUCCUCAGGAUGGGACCCUGCUCUACUCCUCCCUGCUCGCCCGUGGGCAGCAGGAUGCCACGGCCACCUUCACCAUGAACUUCCAGGCCAGUUCCUACAAGGUUCACGUGAAGCUGCGUCCACACGUGCAGGAGUUCUUGGAGAGCCUUUCCAAGACCUAUGAGGUACCCAGAGCCCCCGGGAUCUGUGGGGUGACCCCGGGGACGUCCCACCCAGGGAACCUUCACCCUCUCUAUGCCAGAUCUUCAUCUACACCACUGCCAAGAAGGACUAUGCCAAGAAGCUGCUGGAGGUGCUGGACCCCAGGAAGAAGCUGAUCAGGUGAUGGUGCUGCCCCGCUGGGGACCUCCUGUGUGACAGGGUGGGGUCCCCACGGCUCUGUCUCCCCGUCAGGCGCUGCCUCUCCCAGUCGGAUUGUGUCUGCUCCCAGGGCUGCUACUGGAAGGACCUGACCCACCUGGGCAGGGACCUGGCUAAGACGGUGGCCCUGGACCACGCCAUGCAGGGCUUCCCUGCCCAGGUAGGGCAGAGCCGCUCCCAGAGGGAAUUUGAGCGUCCCCAUCCCCGGGAGCACUGUGGCUGUGCCGGAUCCAACCUUCUCCCUGUCCCCCCCAGGCUGCCAACUGGAUCCUGGUGCCACCGUGGUCUGGGGACCCUCAGGAUGAGGAGCUGCUGCCCCUCCUGCCAGUGCUGGAGCAGCUGGGCCAGGCGGUAGGAGAUGUGGGGAUGGGGACAGGAAGGGGACGGGGGCUCUGGGCGCUCCCCUACCCCGUCUCUCCCUGCGCAGGAGGACGUGCGCCCCGAGAUCCAGCGGCAAUUCCCGCCCCAACAGCUGCCUGCAUGAGGAUGAGCCUGGAGGAGCUCUGGGAGAGGCCGUGGGGAAGCUGUGGAUGCUCAGGGACAUCCAGCACCUCAUCCCAUGGAGCUGGGCUGGCUGUGCCAGGAGCCUCCCUUGGUGUUUGCAGGGGUCCCAGCUCAUCCCUGGGGGUGUCCCCAAGGAGAGCCCCUGUCUUUGGACACAGAGCUCCGUCCUGGCUCCCUCCUCUCCCUGCUCUGUAAGGUCCAGCCAAGGCUUUCACGGUCAUUAUAAGCUUGGAG